RNAcentral lists this ribosomal RNA (497 nucleotides) under uncultured bacterium. RNAcentral's name for it is "partial 16S ribosomal RNA". It matches the Rfam family "Bacterial small subunit ribosomal RNA", at positions 28 to 507 of the family's 1533-position model. The record is from RNAcentral.
GAUGAACGCUGGCGGCGUGCCUAAUACAUGCAAGUCGAGCGAACAGACGAGGAGCUUGCUCCUCUGACGUUAGCGGCGGACGGGUGAGUAACACGUGGAUAACCUACCUAUAAGACUGGGAUAACUUCGGGAAACCGGAGCUAAUACCGGAUAAUAUAUUGAACCGCAUGGUUCAAUAGUGAAAGACGGUUUUGCUGUCACUUAUAGAUGGAUCCGCGCCGCAUUAGCUAGUUGGUAAGGUAACGGCUUACCAAGGCAACGAUGCGUAGCCGACCUGAGAGGGUGAUCGGCCACACUGGAACUGAGACACGGUCCAGACUCCUACGGGAGGCAGCAGUAGGGAAUCUUCCGCAAUGGGCGAAAGCCUGACGGAGCAACGCCGCGUGAGUGAUGAAGGUCUUCGGAUCGUAUAACUCUGUUAUUAGGGAAGAACAAAUGUGUAAGUAACUAUGCACGUCUUGACGGUACCUAAUCAGAAGGCCACGGCUAACUACGUG